UACGUAGGGUGCAAGCGUUAAUCGGAAUUACUGGGCGUAAAGCGUGCGCAGGCGGUUAUGUAAGACAGGUGUGAAAUCCCCGGGCUUAACCUGGGAACUGCAUUUGUGACUGCAUAGCUAGAGUACGGUAGAGGGGGAUGGAAUUCCGCGUGUAGCAGUGAAAUGCGUAGAGAUCCGGAGGAACACCAGUGGCGCAGGCGGUGUCCUGGGGCGUACCUGACGCUGAGACGCGAAAGCAUGGGGAGCGAACGGG
Molecule: ribosomal RNA, 253 nt
Filed under: uncultured bacterium
Lineage: Bacteria
Description: partial 16S ribosomal RNA
Rfam family: Bacterial small subunit ribosomal RNA
Source: RNAcentral